This 483-nucleotide ribosomal RNA is filed under the name Triticum aestivum (bread wheat). Its description in RNAcentral is "partial small subunit ribosomal RNA". Lineage: Eukaryota; Viridiplantae; Streptophyta; Magnoliopsida; Poales; Poaceae. The record is from RNAcentral.
AUGAUGCAAAUUGGACAUAUCAGUCAUACACCCAAUGCUGAUGGUUUAUUGAAUCUCGGUCGUGGUAAUACGCAUGUUCAUAAUAUUGAUGCAAAAAGAUGCAAAGUUGAUAAUGAUAGUGCAACAUAUCGAUGGCAAUGUCGUUUAGGUCAUAUUGGUGUAAAGCGCAUGAAGAAACUCCAUGCAGAUGGACUUUUGGAACCACUUGAUUAUGAAUCAUUUGAUACUUGCGAACCGUGCCUUAUGGGCAAGAUGACUAAAACUCCGUUCUCCGGAACAAUGGAGCGAGCCAAUGACUUAUCGGAAAUAAUACAUACUGAUGUAUGCGGACCAAUGAGUGUUGAGGCUCUCGGCAGGUAUCGUUAUUUUCUGACCUUCACAGAUGAUUUGAGCAGAUAUGGGUAUAUCUACUUAAUGAAAAACAAGUCUGAAACAUUUGCAAAAGUUCAAAGAAUUUUAGAGCGAAGUGGAGAAUCAUCGUAA